GCGUAUCUGCUGCGGCGAAAUGAAGUGGAUAUGCGUGUCCAGGCCGCCUGCGGUGACGAUGAGCCCUUCGCCGGCGAGCGCCUCGGUGCCCGACCCGACUUCAAGCCCAGGUGUCACGCCGCUCAUGGUCUGCGGGUUGCCCGCCUUGCCGAUGGCGCUGAUCAGGCCGUUCUUGAUGCCGAUAUCAGCCUUGUAGAUGCCCGUGUAGUCCACGAUGAGGGCGUUGGUGAUGACGGUGUCGGGCGAUUCGGCGUCGCUUUGGACGGAGGACUGCCCCAUGCCGUCGC
This 287-nucleotide small RNA is filed under the name Bifidobacterium subtile. RNAcentral describes it as "5' ureB small RNA". It matches the Rfam family "5' ureB small RNA". The record is from Rfam by way of RNAcentral. Lineage: Bacteria; Bacillati; Actinomycetota; Actinomycetes; Bifidobacteriales; Bifidobacteriaceae.